Molecule: ribosomal RNA, 403 nt
Filed under: uncultured bacterium
Lineage: Bacteria
Description: partial 16S ribosomal RNA
Rfam family: Bacterial small subunit ribosomal RNA
Source: RNAcentral
GACGAACGCUGGCGGCGUGCCUAAUACAUGCAAGUCGAACGCAGUGGGGACGGGUGAGUAACACGUGGGUAACCUCCCAUCAGAGGGGAUAACACUUGGAAACAGGUGCUAAACCGAUACUGAUGGAUGAACCCGCGGUGCAUUAGCUAGUUGGUGAGGUAACGGCUCACCAAGGCCACGAUGCAUAGCCGACCUGAGAGAGUAAUCAGCGACACAGGGACUGGAACACGACCCCGCCUCCAACGGGAGGCAGCAGUAGGGAAUCUUCGGCGAUGGACGAAAGUCUAGACGAGCAACGCCGCGUGAGAGAAAAAGGUUUUCGGAUCGUAGAACUCUGUUGUUAGAGAAGCGGUAUCUAACCAGAAAGCCACGGCUAACUACGUGCCAGCAGCCGCGGUAAUUC